This 468-nucleotide ribosomal RNA is filed under the name uncultured bacterium. RNAcentral's name for it is "partial 16S ribosomal RNA". It matches the Rfam family "Bacterial small subunit ribosomal RNA", at positions 28 to 507 of the family's 1533-position model. The record is from RNAcentral.
GAUGAACGCUGGCGGCGUGCUUAAUACAUGCAAGUCGAACGGAAAGGCCCUGCUUUUGUGGGGUGCUCGAGUGGCGAACGGGUGAGUAACACGUGAGUAACCUGCCCUUGACUUUGGGAUAACUUCAGGAAACUGGGGCUAAUACCGGAUAGGAGCUCCUGCUGCAUGGUGGGGGUUGGAAAGUUUCGGCGGUUGGGGAUGGACUCGCGGCUUAUCAGCUUGUUGGUGGGGUAGUGGCUUACCAAGGCUUUGACGGGUAGCCGGCCUGAGAGGGUGACCGGCCACAUUGGGACUGAGAUACGGCCCAGACUCCUACGGGAGGCAGCAGUGGGGAAUAUUGCACAAUGGGCGGAAGCCUGAUGCAGCAACGCCGCGUGCGGGAUGACGGCCUUCGGGUUGUAGACCGCUUUCGCCUGUGACGAAGCGUGAGUGACGGUAAUGGGUAAAGAAGCACCGGCUAACUACGUG